AGAGCUCGUGAUGAGAACCCGGCCCUCGGGUCGGGAUUGUAGUCUGGAGAGGCGUUGCCAGCCGGCGGCGGGGUCGAAGUCUCUUGGAAAAGAGCAUCAAGGAGGGUGACAAUCCCGUUCCGGUCCCUGCUCGUCGUGCGCACGGCGCGCUUUCUACGAGUCGAGUUGCUUGGGAUUGCAGCUCAAAGCGGGUGGUAAAUUCCAUCUAAAGCUAAAUACCGGUGGGAGACCGAUAGCGAACAAGUACCGUGAGGGAAAGAUGCAAAGAACUUUGAAAAGAGAGUUAAAGAGUGCCUGAAAUUGCUGAAAGGGUAGCGAAGGAAGCCAGUGUCUGGUGGUUCUGCUUCUCCGACGGUCUCCGGACCGUCGGGCUGCGCUUCCGCUGUGGCCAGGGCUGGGUUGGGCCGCGGGAACUAGCGUCCCCGGGAGGUACGUCUCUUCGGAGGUGGAAUGCCGGGGCGCUCUCCGUCGCGGCCUUGGGCCGGUCCUGACGAAAUGGUUUUCUUCACCCCGUCUUGAAACACGGACCAAGGAGUCUAACAUGCCCGCGAGUACAGGGGCGGCAAACCCCCGUGCGCAGUGAAAGUGAAUGUAGGUGGGACGCUUCGGCUGCACCAUCGACCGACCGUGCCCCCCCGGGGUCGAGGUUUGAGUGUGAGC
Molecule: ribosomal RNA, 660 nt
Filed under: Stephanocystis osmundacea f. hipolito
Lineage: Eukaryota; Phaeophyceae; Fucales; Sargassaceae
Description: LSU rRNA
Rfam family: Eukaryotic large subunit ribosomal RNA
Source: RNAcentral